GAAAUGCGAUAAGUAAUGUGAAUUGCAGAAUUCAGUGAAUCAUCGAAUCUUUGAACGCACCUUGCGCUCCUUGGUAUUCCUUGGAGCAUGCCUGUUUGAGUAUCAUGAAAUCUUCAAAGUAAAUCUUUUGUUAACUCAAUUGGUUUCUACUUUGGUAUUGGAGGUCUUUGCAGCUUCACACCUGCUUCUCUUUGUUCAUUAGCUGGAUCUCAGUGUUAUGCUUGGUUCCACUCGGCGUGAUAAGUUAUCUAUCGCUGAGGACACUGUAAAAGGUGGCCAAGGUAAAUGCAGAUGAACCGCUUCUAAUAGUCCAUUGACUUGGACAAUACUUUUAUGAUCUGAUCUCAAAUCAGGUAGGACUACCCGCUGAACUUAAGC
RNAcentral lists this unclassified non-coding RNA (378 nucleotides) under plant metagenome. Its description in RNAcentral is "partial contains 5.8S ribosomal RNA, internal transcribed spacer 2, and large subunit ribosomal RNA". The stretch from base 1 to 105 matches the Rfam family "5.8S ribosomal RNA", at positions 50 to 154 of the family's 154-position model. The record is from RNAcentral.